Non-coding RNA from Caenorhabditis elegans, 128 nucleotides. Lineage: Eukaryota; Metazoa; Nematoda; Chromadorea; Rhabditida; Rhabditidae. The record is from Ensembl.
UGCCUACAUUUAUGGCUCUUUUUCGUCAGUACUCUCAUCAAGGGCUCUUAUCAAGCACUUUACAAAAUAUACUUCUCUUCCUGAUUUACUACCGUUUAUGGAAUUGUGCUUCAAUAUUGAGUGCAUCA